This 6190-nucleotide long non-coding RNA is filed under the name Sus scrofa (pig). RNAcentral's name for it is "lncRNA (ENSSSCG00000061678.1)". The record is from RNAcentral. Lineage: Eukaryota; Metazoa; Chordata; Mammalia; Artiodactyla; Suidae.
GAUUAUGUGUUAUGUGACUAGCAUCAUAAGAAAUGUUAAAAUAAGGAAAAAAUGAAGGAAAGAAACUUCUUUUACGAUUGUCAGCAAAUAUCUGUGAACCACAUAGGUAGAAUAAGUGACUCUGGGCUCACAUGCAGUUUGCUUUCAGGAGAAGAAAACAGCGAGGAGCUAAGAGAAUAUUACCUUUUUUCCACAAAAAAUAGAUGUGGAGGAAUUAAAAGUAAUAGGAUGGUUUUACUAUUCAUACACGUGGAAGAAAUGCAUUUUUAAAUAACCCCCCAAAAUUCUUCCUCAUGCUGUAGGAUUUUUCAUAAAUAUACACAGAGGCUGAUGCAAGAGCUGAUUAUGGGGGAAAGGGUGUUUCCUGUAUCAGUUCUGAAAGCCUUAUUAUAUCUUAAAUGACACUGUAGGCUUUCUUAAUAAAUGGAAACAUUCCUCCAUCUCCAUAGAGUUAAAGUUGUCCACUGACUACAGGGCUUGUUUUGGGAUUAGUCAACACUCAGUUAUAUCUCUGUGCAAAAGUUAGUGGGCCUAGGCUUUUCAUCACGUGAUGGCAACUCCAGGGAAUGAGAAAUAUGUGACAUCCACUUUCUGAGAGAUAUUAAUUUUGGGAAGUGAAAGAAGGAAAGGGAUUCUGCACAAUGAAUCAUGGGAUUCCAAUCCUUUAUUGAAAGGUUCACUGACUUAUCAGGGUGAAAGAGUAGCUACUUAAAUAAAAAGGGAAAGUGGAAAUCAUAUCCACAUUUCCUUUACCGGUAUUUUUAAAGUAAAUUGACAUAACUCAAAAGGAGUGAAUUUUGAACUCAAGUACUAUAACAUAUAUAGCUGUUUGGUAACCAUUCCGAAUAUACCUGGGAUAGUCUGGUAUACAGGCUAAUACAGUUAUUUCUUACACAAUUACAUUUUAUUUAUGUGAGGUAUAGAGUAGUAAGUUCUGAGUGGGAAUCCUAAUGCUACAGCUUGAUGGAAUCAGUAUGAAAAAUAUCUUAAGAAAUUUAAAUUUCCAUUUUUAAAAGAGAAUGUCUUUUGUGUUUAAAGUAGGACAAUAUUGGAGAUGGGAAAAAAAGCUAAAAUUGAAAAUAAGACAAAGAAAUGAAAAUGCAGUGAUUGCACAUGAAUUUUUUUAAUGUUGCAAAUUUUUAUCCAGAACUAAGAGAUAAAUAUAAUGAUGCAAGUUAAAUAUUCAUGUUUUCUAUCUAAUGGUUAAGAAGUAAAAAUACCACUGAAUGUCCUUUCUAUACCUCCACAAUAUGAGGACAAAUCUCUGUGGAGAUGUGAAAAAUACAUAUGUUUAUAUUUGCUGUUGUUUUUGCUGUUAACAGUGAAGUUAACACUUUUCUAACAAUGAAUUACACUUUUCUAUAAAAUCAUUCCUGAACCACUUUGUCUUUGUGAAACUAUGUGUGUAAAUUAUUGGGUGAGAAUACCUGUAUAUGUAGAUGGAUAGAGUUUUCAUAGAGUUUGAAUAACAUAAAAAUAUAAUCAGUCUAUACUGUGUGACAUGAUUUGUGGUCUCUACCAUCCAUUUCCACUUUACUAAGUUAUCCUCACUGUAUUCAGAUGCUUCCCUGCUGUGGUACACACACAUACCUGGCCAAUAUGUUUACCUCUAGCUAUGUUCUGUUAGAAUUAGCUUAGAUGUGACAUUAGAUUGCUCCAUAUUAUGCCUCUUCUAAUGAGCAUUAUUUCAUGUCCAUUAGAACGGUCUUGAGUCAUGUAACUGAAUCCUUAAAUAUUGUUGUUUACCAAAUUCCAGUUACUCUAUAAAUAGCGAAUGAGAGUUACUGAGAAUAAUGGAAGAUAAUGUAUUAUACACUCUAUUAAUCAUAGAAUGGAUAAGGUAUAGGGAGAAAUAAUGGUGAACUUUAUUACCUUUCUAAAGGUAUACAAGUAGCACUCAUGCCAAGUAAUCCAUUCUCACCUGUGAUUGGUAGAAAUAAAGGGAGAGAAGAUACAGCAGCAAGACAUAGUAUAUAAAAAUCACCUUUUAAAUAGACCUGGCAAAUGGGCUUCAAACUAUACAUAUCUAUUUUUUAAUUAUAAAAUUAAAUUUUUAGAUUACUUUUAGCUUUACUGAAAACCUGAGAGGAAAAAACGUAGACUUCUUAUAUACUCCCUCACUUCCAUCACCCCCCCCACCAACUAAUAAGUUUCCUCCCUCAACCCUGCUAGUUUCUCUUGUUGAUAACAUCUGGAACUUUCAUAACAUCUGGUUAUGAUGAAUGAGCCAUUAUAGAUAAAAUAUUAUUUUUUUGUCUUUUUUUUUUUUUUUUAAGGGCCGCCCUAUGGCAUAUGGCAAUUCCUGGCCUAUGCCACAGCCACAGAAAUAGCAGAUCUGAACCUCCAUCCUCAUGGAUCCUUGUCAGAUUCAUUUCUGCUGAACCAUGAUGGAACUCCCUAAUAAAAUAGUAUUAACUAAAGUCCAUAAUUUACAUUAGAGUUCAGUUUUUGUAUUGGACAUUCUAUGGGUCUGGGCAAAUGCAUAAUGAAAUAUAUCCACCCUGAAGAAAAGUUUCACUGCUCUAAAAUUCUCCUGUGUUCCACCUAUUUAUUUUUCACUUGCUCACUCCCUACCUCAGCUCUUUUUACUAACUGCACACUUUUAUCUUUACAAGAAUGGCAUAUAGUUAGAAUCAUACAGUAUUUUAGCUUUUCUGACUGUCUUUGAUUGUCUUCUUUCACUUGCAAUAUGCAUUUUAAGUUCUUUUUUGUCAUUUGGAAGAUUGAUCUCAUUUAUGUUUAUUGCUGAAUAAUAUUCUUUUGCAUAGAAAAACUGCAAAUUGUUUAUCCAUUUAUCUACUUAGGGACAUCUUAGUUGCUUCCAAGUUUUGGCAAUUCUGAAUGAAGUUGCUAUAAACAUAUAGGUAGAAGUUUUUUGUGUGAACAUAACUUUUCAAUUUACUGAGUAAAUACCAAUGAGUGUGAUCAUUUGUUCAUAUGAUGAAUGUGUUUAGUUUUUAUAAGAAGCCAUCAAAAUACCUUCCAGAAUGGUUGUACCAUUAGCAUCCCCAUCAGCAAUGAAUGAGAGUUCCUGUUGCUCCCAGUCACACAUACACAUAUAUAUUCCUUUUUCUCACAUAAUCAUGCUUAUUUACAUAAUUAUACUUUCCGGAAUUUGGUGUUGUCAGGAUUUCAGUCAUUCUCACAGGUAUAUAGUAUAUCUCAUUUUUUUUUUGACAUAUACUUUUUAUUGGUAAUAACUGCUUAUGCCAUUUUGAGGAUCUUCAGGAAACUUCUGUAAUCAAUUAGUGUAUUUUGGGGGAGGAGAGGGUAAUCCAUUGUUGUAAUUUACAUUUGCUUUUCACAAUUUAGGGUUCUGGUGGAUUGAACUGUAUGAAUUAGAGCAAUCAAAUAAUUCAAUCCUACAUUUGUCAGUAAUCAGAUUAUAACAAUUUUCUCUUUUUCAAGCACUAUGAUUGAAUUAAGGGGCAUAAGGAGCUAUGAAGCUCAGAAGCUAUCAUCACUUAGACUUUGUUGUAUGUCAAAAAUCAUACACAAAAAUCAUAGCUUUGUUGUAUUUCAAAAAUUGGACUGUAAGAGCAUCCAAUCCAAUUUCUCCUCUUUCUUUGCCUUUCUAUUUUGUACCUUCUAGCCAUAUAUCUACUGUGGGAAAAAAUGUCUGUCUUCAUAUGACUUAUGAGAGAAAAAACAAAAUACUCAGGCAGACUGACGUUUUUCCUAAUCUGACCAUGGCCAGUUUCUGAGAUCACUGGUGAUUACUCUGAGCUCAAGCUAAGCUGUAUUUUCACUUUUUCCAAGGUACUUUCUCUCAACUCACAACAUUUACCUACAGUAGUCUUGCUGAUUUGACUCGUCUUCCUUAUAUUCUCUACCAAUUCAAAUAUUACCAAUCUUUCUUCAAAUUCUUAUUAAUUCCUCUACUAAUAAUCACAAAAGACCUUGCAUUGUUAACUAAACAUGGAUUGUAUCUUUAUUAUAUCCUUCUAUGUAAACGAUAUGAUUUAGAAAGAGAAAGAAAAAUCCUUUUGUAUUUUUUUGCAGUCCUUAAAGUACAAUGUUCGUAGUAUUUAUUAAUGCCUGUUCAUUGAAAGGGUAUAUCAAAACAUUAAUUCUUAUAAUUAUGUAUAUAUACUAUUGGUUUUUUAAUGAUUUUUAUUAAAUAUUGGCUUUUUAAAUGAUUUUUAUUUUUUCCAUUAUAGAUGGUUUACAGUGUUCUUUCAAUUUUUUACUGUACAGCAAGGUGACUCAGUCACACAUACACAUAUAUAUUCCUUUUUCUCACAUAAUCAUGCUCCAUCAUAAGUGAGUAGGCAUAGUUCCCAGUGCUAGACAGCAGGCUCUCAUUGCUUAUCCAUUCCAAAGGCAAUAGUUAGCAUGUAUUAACCUGAAAUUCCCAGUCCAUCUCAUUCACUCCCCCUCCCCUUUGGUAACCACAAGUCUGUUCUCCAUGCUUAUGAUUUUCUUUUCUGUGGAAAGGCUCAUUUGUGCCAUAUAUAGAUUCCAGAUAUAAGUGAUAUCAUAUGGUAUUUGUCUUUCUCUUUCUGACUUCACUUAGUAUGAGAGUUUCUAGUUCCAUCCAUGUUGCUGCAAAUGACAUUAUUUUGUUCGUUUUUAUGGCUGAGUAGAAUUUCAUUGUGUAUAUAUACCACAUCUUCUUAAUCCAUUCAUCUGUUGAUGGACAUUUAGGUUGUUUCCCUGUUUUGGCUUUUGUGGAUAGUGCUGCAGUGAACAUACAAUGAAUAUGUCUUUUUCAAGGAAAGUUUUGUCCAGAUAUAUGCCCAAGAGUGGGAUUGCUGGAUCAUACGGUAGUUCUAUAUUUAGUUUUCUGAGGUACUGCCAUACUUUUUUCUAUAGUGGUUGUACCUAUUUACAUUCCCACCAACAGUGAAGGAGGGUUCCCCUUUCUCCAUACCCCGUCCCUCAUUUGUUAUUUGUGGACUUAUUAAAGAUGGCCAUUCUGACUGGUGUGAGAUGGUAGUUUUGAGUUUCAUUUCUCUAAUAAUCAGUGAUGUUGAGCAUUUUUUCAUGUGCUUGUUGGCCAUCUGUAUAUCUUCUUUGGAGAAAUGUCUAUUCAGGUCUUUUGCCCGUUUUUCAAUUGGGGUUGUUGGCUUUUUUGCUGUUGAGUUGUAUAAGUUAUUUGUAUAUUUUAGAGAUUAAGCCCUUGUCAGUUGCAUCAUUUGAAACUAUUUUCUCCCAUUCUGUAAGUUGUCUUUUUUUUUUUUUCUAAUGGUUUCCUUUGCUUUGCAAAAUCUUGUCUGUUUGAUUAGGUGACAUUUUUUUAUUUUUGCUUUUAUUUCUGUUGCUUUGGGAGACUGACUUAAGAAAACAUUUGUAAGGUUGAUGUCAGAGAAUGUUUUGCCUAUGUUCUCUUAUAGGAGUUUGAUUGUGUCUUGUCUUACAUUUAAGUCUUUAAGCCAUUUUGAGUUUAUUUUUGUGCAUGGUGUGAGGGUGUAUUCCAGUUUCAUUGAUUUACAUGUGGCUGUCCAGUUUUCCCAGCAUCACUUGCUGAAAAGACUUUCCCAUUUUAUAUUCUUGCCUCCUUUGUUGAAGAUUAAUUGACCUCCUUUAUUUCUGGAUUUUCUAUUCUGUUCCAUUGUAUGUCUGUUUUGGUACUAGUACCACACUGUCUUGAUUACUGUGGCUUUGCUUUUUUGUUCUAUUCUAUUUUUGUCUGUGUCUUUUUUAGUGUCGCACCAGCGGCAUAUGGAGAUUCCCAGGCUAGGAGUCUGAUUGGAGCUGUAGCCACCCCAUGGUCACAGCAACACAGGAUCUGAGACACCCCAGCCUACGGCAAUGGAUUACUGUGGCUUUGUAAUAUUGCCUGAAGUCUGGGAAAGUUAUGCCUCCUGUUUGGUUUUUGUUCCUCAGGAUUGCUUUGGCAUUUCUUGGUCUUUUAUGGUUUCCUAUAAAUUUUUGGAUUGUUUGUUCUAGUACUGUGAAAAUUGUCAUGGAAAAAAAAUUCCAAAAAAAACAAACAAAAAAACAAAACGGAGUUCCUGUCGUGGCAUAGUGGAAAUGAAUGAGACUAGGAACCAUGAGGUUGUGGGUUUGAUCCCUGCCCUGCCUCAGUGGGAUAAGGAUCUGGCAUUUCCAUGAGCUGUGGUGUAGGUUGCAGAUGAUGCAGCUUGGAUCUGGUGUUGCUGUGGCUCUGGUGUAAGCCAGCGGCUACAGCUCUGAUUAGACCCUUAGCCUGGGAACCUCCAUUUUCCGCGGGUGCGGCCCUAAAAGG